UCUUUUUUUGCCCCAUUACACAGGAAACCAGGAUUACCGAAGAGAAAGCCUUUCCGUGGUGCUCCGCUGUGGUCCUUUUCAACAUUGACCCUGGAUAUUCUCUUCACUGUGGGAUGAGGUAGUAGGUUGUAUAGUUUUAGGGUCACACCCACCACUGGGAGAUAACUAUACAAUCUACUGUCUUUCCUAAGGUGAUAGAAAAGUCUGCAUUCAGUCAGCCUUACGGAAAGUUAAUAACUAGUUGUUCAGUGUUUAAAAUUAAUUUGUCUAAAAAAGAAUCUUUCAUUAUUUCCUAGAAAAGUCUUUACCAGGUAGACAAGGUAGAAAUGGGGCUACUUUUUGCUUAUCUCAUUUCUGUGUCGGAAUUAUGUUUUGUUUUGAUUGAUGCUGAUAAUUUUGUGUGAACUUUUCUUUUGAAAGAAAUUGUGCUCUUCAUUCCAGAGGAAAAGAUUGCUCUAUCAGAGUGAGGUAGUAGAUUGUAUAGUUGUGGGGUAGUGAUUUUACCCUGUUCAGGAGAUAACUAUACAAUCUAUUGCCUUCCCUGAGGAGUAGACUUGCUGCAUUAUUUUGUUUUUAUCUAGAUGAUGUUAAAGCUUGGAUGAAUUUUGACUCUUGUAUUUACAGUUGUCAGUUGUUAAUUUUCACCCUUCAAGUAGAGUACAGUAGUAGACACUGAUUUAUCUUUUAAUUUUCACAUGAUAUAUUUCAGAAAUUUGAAAUUAAGCAAAAAUCUCUGGAGAAAUGUACCUUUCAGGAAAUUUUUAAAAGAAGACCAAACCCUUUUAGGAUGUUCCUUGCCCUACAUUCUGGUAUAUAUGUCUAGAGUGAGCUUUAGCUUGGUAUAAAGGUACAUACUAACUGUAAGGGCACUGUUGGAGCUAAAUUUGAGUCAGGUUGAUUAUUUCAUUCCUAGUCUGGGGUUUUGAGUAGCUUUGGAGAAUACUAAUAUAAGCACUACCUCAUUGGUGUAUUGACUUGGACAGAAUUUAUUCACUAUCCUGAAAAGGGGGAGAUGGACUUUGGGUUCUGCUUUUGUUCCCUGGCAAGUUGCUAAGAAAAACUGAAGUGGUUCUUUAUUCCAAAACUGUUAGGUAGGAAAGUGUGUGUGUUGCUUAAAAAAAAAAAAAGACAAAUAUUAGAAAAAAACAUUGAAUUUGUUUUAACAUCCAUAAAGGCCCAUAUUUCAGCUUUCUUCUGGUGGCCAACCCAUAUGCUUCCUUGGAUAUUAUAGUCAAGCAAGACUAAGAACUCCAUUUUAAAUGCUUGCUCUUUAAACAAUUUUAUUUUGAGGAAGAGAGGGGAAAGAGGAAAAAUGUGACAGUGAGGGAGAAAUCUUCUUUUCAAAGAUAUUUCCAUUUAGUAUCUUAGCAUCUUGGAUGAUUACCAUGCAUUACCAUUGGUGGUGGGAACUUUAGAGGAAACAUGAAAACUCUUGGAUUGGUCAAAUCUAGAUGUUUUGUCCUGAACCAAUAUUUAUGCUUAUUUCAUCCCUGGCAUGUUUGUUCUUGUUCCAAAUUGGAUGUGUAAACACUGGAGGGAAACAAAUUGCUAAUAUGCAUCACCCACCUGCUGAGUAUGUGACAAGUACAGUAGUGGAAUUUUACGGUUUUCUGUUAAGUGCCCCUCCAAUGUGGAUAUCUACUGCUCUGAACUUGGAAACUUCACUAAGGUCUGGAGAAAAUUGUGUUUAUAUUAUCGAUUAUGUUAGGGCCUAUUUCAAUAUCAUUAUUAUUAUUUUUUUUUUUAGAGAGAAGUUUUUUUAAUAUUCAUUUUUUUUUUUUUUUUUUUGGCGGACACAACCUCUUUGUAUGUGGUGCUGAGGAUCGAACCCGGGCCACACGCAUGCCAGGCGAGCUUGCUACCGCUUGAGCCACAUCCCCAGCCCUCAAUAUCCUUAUUAGCUAAGCAGAGAAAGUGGAUCAGAUUGUGAAGAACUGAUAUAUUUUGUAAACAUAAUUUAAAAAGGAACCUUUAUGGAGACUGUGGCAGACUCUAAAAGCUUUUUAAUGGCAGCAAAAAUGAUGACCAUAGUGCUUCUGUUUACUGUAAUUCAGGGGUGAAGAAGGGACUAACUGGAUGUAAUUCUGAAAUGUGACCUCUCAAGUCAUAAUUUCCUCCAGUUGAUAGGUGGCAAACAGGAUUUAUAUACAAUAUUUAAUCAAGAGAGGCUGGAGGUUUUAUGAAAUUUGAUCUUUGAAUCUUGGUAAUUAAAUGUCUAAAGUAAUCCCAAGUAACCAUAAACAAAACAAAAAAAUUUAAAUAAAAAGCUGAGGCUCUAGUAUGUGGUAGGUUGAGUUAGAGGUCUGGCUUGUAUUCUUUGAUGUAAUUACUUUCUUCUUUUUAACUUGAGGUUUGUUUUUAAGCAAGUACUGUUUUGGCUUAUAGAAAAGCCAUACAGUCAAUAACUUUAAAAGCAUUAGUGAAAGAAUUCUAGUUGGUUGUGUUUGAAACAAGAUUGAAAGAAUAUGGCCUAAUUUAACUGGGUAUUUUGAUGUGCACCUGCCAAAUAGAAGAUCAGCAAGAAUAAAAUGGGUUCCUAGGAAGAGGUAGUAGGUUGCAUAGUUUUAGGGCAGGGAUUUUGCCCACAAGGAGGUAACUAUACGACCUGCUGCCUUUCUUAGGGCCUUAUUAUUCUACGGUGCCCUGUUUCCUUGUUACUUAUUCAGGUGUAAGCAGACUUCUUACUGCAGGUUUUCUCAAAUGAAAACAUUGCAGGAAUACAAAAGACAGUAGUGUUUGCAUUAGUGUCCUGUAAUUGCAACAUGGUGCCAACAUUAAUUACUGACAGUCAACUAAAGAGAAUUUGAGAAUUGUGAAAUAUACUUAGUUGCUUUUGUGUUUCACUUUGGUCACUGGAAGGUUUUGGAAAGCACCCCCCUCUCCCCCCCGCCCUCGCUUUCCCCCCCCCCCUCAAAUUUCCCUUUCUCUAACACCUAGGUCACUGUCAGCUAUUCCCCUCUCUGUAGCCACCACAUAUGUCUGAAGAGAAAGCAUUUAACAAAAUGUUGAAAUAUUUUUCUAUUUCUUUCAUUGUGUUUGUGAAUGCCUUACAAAGUUUCUGGGUUUCUUUUGUCUUCUGGAUUUAAAAUUUGAGGCCAUUCUUAAGAUGGUAUUUCAUAGUGUGGGACUUGAUGAUCACAUUGAGCUGCUUAUUAUAUAUGUAACCUUGUGAUUGAAUCUGUUAAAUGAAUGCAAGAACUAGAAAAUUAUUCAGGUACUUGAAUGAAAAUGUUUAUCAUGAUAGUGGAGUUAUAAUAAUUUAAGACAUACCUUCUCAAUAAAAAUAUUACAUAAUCUAAAGCUCGUGCUUUUAAAAUCAUUCUUAUUCUACUACAUACUUGCUAACUUUGCCGUUGUUGAAGUACUAAUUCUGUAUUUAAAUUUAUUUUAGGAUUUGUUAAAUUUCAUUUUUCAUAAAUGCACAUUUGAUGAUUGUAUUAUCAUUCACAUAUAAAUAAAGCUAACUGAAGCGAUAUCUAGCUCUUGCGUUUUUGUUAACUAUUGUGACUUUAUCCAUACAACUGUAUUUGCCGGUACACCCUGCUUUCUUUACUUAAU
RNAcentral lists this long non-coding RNA (3558 nucleotides) under Marmota monax (woodchuck). The stretch from base 459 to 545 matches the Rfam family "let-7 microRNA precursor family". The record is from RNAcentral. Lineage: Eukaryota; Metazoa; Chordata; Mammalia; Rodentia; Sciuridae.